GGUCCUGUGGUCUAGUGGUAUGAUUCUCGCUUUGGGUUCACAUCCUGAUCUGCGAGAGGCCCCGUGUUCGAACCACGGCAGGACCC
Non-coding RNA from Blastomyces silverae, 86 nucleotides. The record is from the annotation of a GenBank genome assembly. Lineage: Eukaryota; Fungi; Ascomycota; Eurotiomycetes; Onygenales; Ajellomycetaceae.